This 493-nucleotide ribosomal RNA is filed under the name uncultured bacterium. Its description in RNAcentral is "bacterial SSU rRNA". It matches the Rfam family "Bacterial small subunit ribosomal RNA", at positions 213 to 699 of the family's 1533-position model. The record is from RNAcentral.
UCGCGCUAUUAGAUGAGCCUGCGUCCGAUUACCUAGUUGGUGGGGUAAAGGCCCCCCAAGGCGACGAUCGGUAGCUGGUCUGAGAGGACGAUAAGCCACCCUGGAACUGGACACGGUCCAGACUCCUACGGGAGGCAGCAGUGGGGAAUAUUGGACAAUGGGCGCAAGCCUGAUCCACCAAUGCCCCGUGUGUGAAGAAGGCCUGCGGGUUGUAAAGCACUUUAAGCAUGGAAGAAUGGGCUAAGGUUAAUACCCUUGGACAGUGACUUUACCUGCAGAAUAAGCACCGGCUAACUCCGUGCCACCAGCCGCGGUAAUACGGAGGGUGCGAGCGUUAAUCGGAAUUACUGGGCGUAAAGCGCGCGUAGGCGGUUGACUAAGUCUGCUGUGAAAGCCCCGGGCUUAACCUGGGAACUGCAGUGGAUACUGGUUGGCUAGAGUAUGGUAGAGGGUAGUGGAAUUUCCGGUGUACCAGUGAAAUGCGUAAAUAUGC